Molecule: ribosomal RNA, 1360 nt
Filed under: Metapenaeus joyneri
Lineage: Eukaryota; Metazoa; Arthropoda; Malacostraca; Decapoda; Penaeidae
Description: 16S ribosomal RNA
Rfam family: Archaeal large subunit ribosomal RNA (bases 653-1360)
Source: RNAcentral
AGUGAGUUCUUGUCUAGUUUAUAAAAUUUUAGUUUAUAGGAUUUAGAUAUAUUAAAAUUAUUUUUCAAUAUAAAUUUUUUAGUAAUUUGAAAUAAAAAGAUUUUGAUUAAGACUAUAGUGAAUAGUACUGUGAAGGAAUGAUGAAAUAAUAUGAAAUACUUUAAUUAGAAAAAAGUAAAAGUUAAAUUUUGUACCUUGUGUAUUAGGGAAGAUUAAAAUUAUCUAUUUACAUUUAGAAAUCCCGAAAAAAGAAGAGUUAAUAUAAAAUAAAGCUUUUCGUCUUAAAGAAAUCUUUAAUUUUAUAUUAGUGAUGAAAUGUCAGUCGUUUCUUUAUAUCUGGUUAUUAACGAAUUAAAUUUAAUUUAGUUAUUUUUUGAUUAGUUUUAAAUUAAAGAAUAAUAAAGAAUAGGAGGGAAGAGCUUCUUAUUCUAUAAUAAAUUUAUUAUGAAAUCAUUUUAUAUUUUUGUAUUAAAUUAGGCUUAAAAGCAGCCAAAUUUGUAAAGCGUUCUAGCUAAUAUGUGUAAUUCUUAUUAUUUAAUUGGUAUCUAAUUUUGGUAGUUAAUAAUUUUAUAUAAUGUAAGAUUAAAAGUUAUAAUGAUUUUAUUAGUAGAGAUAAUUGUGUAAACUAAGUUUAGAAUAAUAUAAGAAGUAUUAAAUUUGAAAUGUAUAAUAAAGGAACUCGGCAAACACUAUUUUUGCCUGUUUAUCAAAAACAUGUCUGUAUGGUUGUUAUAUAGAGUCUAGCCUGCCCACUGAUAAAAGUUAAAGGGCCGCGGUAUUUUGACCGUGCGAAGGUAGCAUAAUCAUUAGUCUUUUAAUUGGAGGCUUGUAUGAAUGGUUGGACAAAAAAUAAGCUGUCUCUGUUUUAAUUCUUGAAUUUAACUUUUAAGUGAAAAGGCUUAAAUGUUCUAGGGGGACGAUAAGACCCUAUAAAGCUUUACAGUGUGUUAAUUAAAUUUUAAACUGUUAGUAUUAACUUAAUUUAUUUAAUAACUGUUUCGUUGGGGCGACGAAAAUAUAAUGAAUAGUAACUGUUUUUCUUUGUAAAAUAACAAUAAAUUUUUGGAAGUAAUUGAUCCUUUUUUAAAGAUUAAAAGAUUAAGUUACUUUAGGGAUAACAGCGUAAUCUUCUUUGAGAGUUCAUAUCGACAAGAAGGGUUGCGACCUCGAUGUUGAAUUAAGGUUUCCUUGAGGUGUAGCAGUUUCAUGGGAGGGUCUGUUCGACCUUUAAAUCCUUACAUGAUUUGAGUUCAGACCGGCGUGAGCCAGGUCGGUUUCUAUCUCCUAGAUAUAAAAGAUUAUUCUAGUACGAAAGGAUUGAGUAGUCAAAAUAAUUUUUAUAAAAGAGUAAUGUUAAUGA